RNAcentral lists this ribosomal RNA (266 nucleotides) under uncultured bacterium. RNAcentral's name for it is "partial 16S ribosomal RNA". It matches the Rfam family "Bacterial small subunit ribosomal RNA", at positions 335 to 599 of the family's 1533-position model. The record is from RNAcentral.
AGCCUACGGGGGGCAGCAGUGAGGAAUAUUGGUCAAUGGGCGGGAGACUGAACCAGCCAAGCCGCGUGAGGGAUGAAGGUACAGAGUAUCGUAAACCUCUUUUGUCAGGGAACAAAGGCGGGGACGCGUCCCCGGAUGAGAGUACCCGAAGAAAAAGCAUCGGCUAACUCCGUGCCAGCAGCCGCGGUAAUACGGAGGAUGCGAGCGUUAUCCGGAUUUAUUGGGUUUAAAGGGUGCGCAGGCGGGCUGUUAAGUCAGCGGUCAAA